GCCGCCGUAGCUCAGUGGUAGAGCGCACCCUUGGUAAGGGUGAGGUCGCAAGUUCGAUCCUCGCCGGCGGCACCA
This 75-nucleotide transfer RNA is filed under the name Alphaproteobacteria bacterium. RNAcentral describes it as "tRNA-Thr". It matches the Rfam family "tRNA". Rfam says of the family: Transfer RNA (tRNA) molecules are approximately 80 nucleotides in length. Their secondary structure includes four short double-helical elements and three loops (D, anti-codon, and T loops). Lineage: Bacteria; Pseudomonadati; Pseudomonadota; Alphaproteobacteria. The record is from RNAcentral. RNAcentral also lists the same sequence under 2 other names.